AAAGGGACGAAAACCCGAUCAUAUAUUGGGAUAGUGAUGACAAUGGUCAAUCCAAUAAAAACUUGGAGUGUUGCAGCUGGUAUCUCAAAGCCUGAGACAAUGGUUCUGUCCAUUGUGGCUCCUUGCUUCGUAAAGAAGGUUGAGGUUUGUGCAAAGACAAUGGCAAAGAGCAGACAUGUCAGCCAUAUUGGAACAAGCCGUAGUAUGGACUUCGCUUCUUCAACAUCGUCAACAUUAGGUUGGUUUUCUUUCGAGUCAUCUGUUAUUAUCAAAGGUUUGUUUAGAAACCUGCAAGAUUGAGAGAUCUAACUGAGUCUCGAUUAUGUAGGCAUCAGUGACCUAAAGCUAAUACAAGUAAUGAAAAAAAAGAUAUUUGCACGUAGCAUUAGUCCCUAGUUUAGUCACUGCAUUGUCAAAGGCAAACAGAAUUUAGUUGGAUAACUGGUCGGUCGAGCUUUCUAAGAUGAAUAUUAAUAUCGUUCAGUGAACCUACCACUUUUUAAAUCUUUGAACCUUGAGCUUAGAAGACGCUGCAAUUUUUGCUACCAGGAGAUGCAAGGAACCAGCAAGGGAGGAGAAAAAAAGAAAGAAAGGCAUCAAUGAAUUUCUUACUUGAAUUGCUUGUAAUUCUCUGGAGGCAAUUUUACAGCUUCCUCUUCAUUAGGCAACAAUGGAGCAUUCUUCCACCAAUUUUUAGCUGCAGCAACAUAAACACGACCAAAUCUUACAAAUGGGCUGCUUCCAUUACUUCGGUCGCUGAAUCUGUAAGUCCUCGUUCCCAUCAAGAAAAUGACCAAAGCGACCACCAUUAUAAUACAGGGAAUUCCAAAUCCAAGACUCCAGUUGAGGUUGUCCUGAAUGUAAACUAAGACCACAAGUGUCACCACGACUCCUGCACAUAAGCCAAAAUACCACCAAUUGAAGAAGGAGCUUUUAGCUUUGCUCUCCACUGGGUCUUGUUUGUCGAACUGAUCUGCCCCGAAAGCUUGAACACACGGUUUAUGGCCAGCUUGUCCAAUUGCCACCAUAUAGAGAGAGAAGAAAAACAAGAUGACAUGGAGUUUAGAGGACGAACAGGAUGUUAUCUUAGUGGUGUUUUGGCAUUCAGAUGUGCCAAGAGAAAUGAGGACAGCUGAUAGAGUCAGUAAAGCAAGUCCCUGCCACAAAUUUCGUAACAAUUCAGUCCACUACCAUUUAAACAUGAAAGUAUAUGUGAGAAUAAAAGAUUAAACAUGUAUCUGCAAGCAUUGACUACAAAGGGCCAUCGUCACUUUAUGAAAUCUGGGGUUCUAAAUCUUCUUUAAACAUCAGCCACCUCAAAAAGAAUUGCAACUAAGAAAUGUGAUGCAAGGCUAGUUUCAGUAACUCAAGCAGGUUUCCAGCAAUGUGCUCAACUGGGACCGAACUCCCUCUAUCAAGCAGUAUCUGAACACAGUUGAGUUCCUGCAGUUGUCUCCUAAACCCUCUUCCCCACUCUUUCCUUCCAUUUCUAGGUGGAGUUUGUGUCCUUAAUGCAGUUGUCAAGAAAGAACUUCUGAGUGACUUCCCCUUUUCCUUCCUUUCUAUUCUUUAAAACGCACGCCCACAAAAGAAAAGGUACUUCUUCUCUGCAGUUCAUAGUCUCAGCAGAAUGAACCGCGCCUGCCUGCUUGUUAAGUUUGAAGCACUCUUCCAAUAGUAUUCUCUCGUGUUCUAAGAAGAAAAUUUCAUUCAGUCAAUUGCUUUUCAUAAAAAUUGUUAGGAUGUUUUUCGUUUCAAUUUCAAGAAACGCUGUUAUUGCUGCCAAAGAGAAAGGGUUAAUUGCACGGUUAUAUAAACAACCAUAUUUCAGCUACAUUCACCUAAUUGCUCUUUUAAUUUCAACAAACUCCAAAAUGACAAUAGACGUCAAUAUUGAUUUGAUGAUCAGGAUAAGGUUUGAGUAAACGUGGAACGUACCAAAAUAUAGAGAAGCGAAGCAAUGAUUAUGGUACGGUAACGUCCCAGGUAAGAAUCAGCGACGAAGGCGCCGACGAGAGGCAACAGAGACGCCGCCCCCGACCACGCAUUGACGUUCUCCGCCGCCGUCGCCGUCGACUCCCCCAGUGGCCCCGUCAAGUAGCUAAUCAGGUUUGCCGAUAUCCCAUAAUACGCAAAUCGCUCGGCAACCUCCACGCCUGGCAAUCAGCAACACGGCAUCAAAAGACUCGAACUUGACCAACACCCACGCGGCGAAAUCACGCCUUUCGCGCGGAUCAGGGCAACAAGACUCCUUUAAACUCUUUACCGAUGAUGAAGGACGCGGAUCUCCACCCGCCGGAGCAGGAUCUGCGCGCCGGGCGACCCUUGGAGUCGACGGCGCCGCCCACGAUGUCGCCGCCGCCGAGGAGUGGGUGCUCCUUCUCCGGCGAGCCCGCGCCGGAAGAACCGGGUGGGUCCAUCUGGGUCGCUUCCGCAGAGAGGAUUCUUGAUUUCUUGGCAACUGCUCUGCUCGUCUCCGCCCGGGUCCGAACGACUAUCAUUCUUUAUUAGCAUGCUAAUCAUGCUGUUCGUUGAUGUGGGAAAACAAUAAACAAGUCUACAGUGCGGGCUCGUCUUCGUCUGCAGGUUUGGAAUGCGAAAGAGCGGCGCCGGGGAGCGUGCCUCAAUGUCAGCAGGCUCUGAAUUCAGGAAGAAAAACAGGGGAUGCGUCGCUCUCCACCUUGGACGGGCACGCCAUUCCCGGGCCAUUCCUUUCCUGAAUCGGGAUUUCCGUCCGCGCCCGGCUCGAACGCAAGAUUCAUGAAGAUGGAAAUGAGAUCAACAAAGGUGACGGAACCCCAUCGAUUGAUUCGGAUUCAAGCAAAAGCGUUUUCCCUCGCUGGCGCUGCUGCCAUUUUCAAGAUGACUCCAAUUUUUGUUUUCGCCAAUAUAACUAUAGAAAUAAUCUUAUUAUAUCGCUCCAGAUAACUAAUUGGUAAAAGAUAUUUUUAUUACUAAUAAUAAUUUUUAUUUAAGCACUUUUAUAGAUAACGGAUAUAUUUUCCGUUUUUUCAUGAAUGACACUAAUUAUCGUUUUCCGGAUUCUUUAUUUUUUGCCCAACAAACACAUUGAUAGAAACUCCAAACUAGCCUACAUUAAUUCUGGUUCCUAUUUCUAGUUUCAUAAUUUAAUUUAGGACUAAGGUUAGUUUCUCGAUUAUGUAUUCAAACCAUGCUACAAUCAUUUUUCCACGUCAAUUUUAAAUGUCAAAAAUAAAGCAGACGCCACCUUACCUACCAUGAUGUCAAGAUCAAUAUAUAUUGCGAGGACAUAAUUUCUACGAAAGAUCAAAUAAUUAAUUAAAUAGUGAUUUGAGAGGCACAUUAACGCAAUAGUUUGUGCAUCUGGUUGCUAAUGAAUCACAAUAAGCUUCGAUAGAGGUUGAGUAUAAUUGUAUAUACAUUUUCAUUAGAAAAGUUUACUUAAAACAUCACGAAUUUUUUUGGGUAGCUACGUCACGAAAUUCAUUCUAUCGAAAUUUGACUUUUUUGUUCUCUCCAAUCUAAAUUGGCAAUUUCCUUGAAUUUCACGCACAUUCACUUUGCAUCCUCCAUUAUGUAAUUUUUUUUUCAAACAAAUAGCUACUAUAAUAAAAUUAUGGCACCAUUUUUCAACAAGACGUCAAUUUCAAAUGAAAAGAACAAAACGAAAGCCAUCUUACCUACUGUGAUGUCAAGAUCAAUCAACAUGUAUUCUUUUGCAUGGAAAUAAUUUAUAAAAAAGAUUGGACAAUUUAUUGAGUAGUGAUUUGAGGGACAGAUCAAUAUAAUAAAUUGCACAUCUAAUUGCUGAUGAAUCAUAAUAAACUUUGAUAGAGGUUGAGUAUAAUUAUAUGUACAUAUUCAUUAGAAACUUAAAACAUCACAAUUUUUUUUUUUUGGUCAACUAACAUCAUGAGGUUGAUUCCAUCAAAAUUUGACUUUUUUGUCUCUCCAAUCUAAAUUGGCAAGUCCCUCAACUUUCACACACAUUCACUUUGCAUCCUCAAAAUUUAGAAUCUCUAACAUACAAUUCGUGCCUAAAAUCCAUAAUUCGAAUGAUCAAAAGUACCAUCUCUAUGUUAAACACCAAAACCUUCAUUUUUCAUAUCACCACAAAAUCAUAUAGACCCAAAAGUCAUGACAUGGGCGUUUUGCCUAUCAUUGUGCAUACGUGGUAAUUAAGAAGCAAAUCGGUUAAUGCUUUGACCGGAGCCGGCGCAAAAUGUAAAUAUGACCAUUCAAACCUAGACUUUUCAAAUAUGGAAAACGAAAGCUCUAACCCAUCUGACCAAAUCCUGGAGGAUUCCAGUACUGCUAUCUUAUAUCUUUUUGUCCCAAUAUAUCGAAAAGAACACCACACAAAUCGUUAAUACCGGGUUCUUCUUAACUAAGGAAGUCUGAUGCCACUACUACACGAUUCUCCUCACAUCUUCAUCUAGCUUAUUUCCAUUUUAACCGGGUGUCGUAUUGCAUUGGGAUCCUUUCGCGCAUUCGAUCUUGAUGGUCUUCCCUAAAUUUUUAAGUACCAUCUCCUAAUUUUUAUUGGUACAGAACAGAAUUUGUAAUGUUUGAAUUGCAUCUCAGCUCCCUCUUUCGCUUAACGCGCGCGAGCGAACCGUGAAAAGUUUCCAGACUGGGCAAUGCGCGGUGACUGUCUGAACAGAGCGAGAAUUCCGCAAUGGAAAAUGACCAGUUUUGAUUUGGACUUUGCAGACAGAGAGAGAGAGAGAGAGAGGAGAGCAGAGAGAUUCGAAGUAAAAAAAUUCAAGAACGGUGGAGUUUGCAUUUGACAUCCAAUCAAUGGAAAAGAGAGAAGCGAAAUAGAACAAGGAAGAGGUGCUUGUUCAAAGGGCAAUCUCGCUUUUUUCGUGGUUACCACGCUGUUGAUUAGCAAUUUCGUUAUCAGGAACACAAGUCAAAAUUCCAUGGCCAAACGGAGCAAUAUCGAAAGACCCAGAAAAGAAAAUGAAAGAAAGAAAAUCCCCACCGAAUCGAAUCCCAUCUACCAAUCAAACUCAAGCGAGGAGAGGACUCCGACAACUCUCAAGAAACCCAACAUCCCCGCCGUUGCUGUCGCCGUCGCCGUCCUCCUCGCAGAUUAGAAAGCUCCAGACAAAUGCACAGCACCAGUGCAGCUUUUCUGCAGAUUUCACUACCCCAAUUCCCUAGUAGAAAAAAAGGUCCAUUAAAUAAAGUCCUACGGCUCAGACAACCCGCCUGACAUCGGGUGGAUCCUGCGUGAGCCGACAUGAUGCGGCAGUCGACAUGCAUUUCGCUCACUUUCUCGGGCGAACCAGCCUGAUGUUCUGCUAAUACAACUUCCCGAAACUCAUGCCUGGAAGCCACUCUUAUAGAAUAACAGAGAAUCUCAAAUUAUGAAUACAACUCGACUUCAUAUUCGCAUGAUUUUUCUUCAGGAUCGCACCAACCAUUGCUCUGAAGAAAAUAAUGUAUGAUUGAAACUACACUGAGGUGGCUGAAAAUUCGAGAGGAAAAGAAGAAAGAGGAGCAAAACUUUCUGAUCUAUCUAGUACGAUUUCAAUCACUGUGUACAGAUCAUCAGCUUGCCCUCCACCGAUAUAUGUAGGCCAUCGCGCAACAGGAAAAUAAGGCUAAUCCAACUGCACCCAACCCAGCGAGUAGCCAAUAGAAGUAAUCGAGAUGUGCCUUGUUAAGAUUAUUUGAAAACCAACUGUCAGUACCGGUCGCUGCUUCAAUGAUCGAGAUAAGGAUGCUGCUUAGAAUGCUCCCUACGCCGAUAACACCAAGGAAAAGAGACAUCCCAACGCUCCUUAAUUCGGAGGGGACCUGAUCAUAGAAGAACUCUUGCAGACCAACCGUGGUCAAAACUUCAGCGAGCCCGAAAAGUCCGUAUUGGGGAACCAACAACCACACACUCAUUGGAAUUGUGGCAUUCGGUAUAUCCACCAGCCCGUAUUCUUGGGCAAUUUCCAGUCUUUUCGUUUCAACUAGGGCUGCAGUGACCAUAGCAAGAAUGGAGAAGAACAUCCCAGCCCCUAUUCUUUGCAGUGUUGUGAUUCCAGAGGGUUUGUUGGUUAAACUUCUCGCAAAAGGGACGAAAACCCGAUCAUAUAUCGGGAUAGUGAUGACAAUGGCGAGUGCAAUAAACACUUGGAGUGAUGCAGCUGGUAUUUCAAAGCCUGGGACAAUGGUUCUGUCCAUCGUGGCUCCUUGCUUCGUAAAGAAGGUUGAGGUUUGUGCAUAGACAAUGGCAACUGGCAGACUUGUCAGCCAUAUUGGAACAAGCCGUAGCAUGGACUUCGCAUCUUCAACAUCGUUGACAUUAGUUUGGUUUUCUUUCGAGUCAUCUGUUAUUAUCAAAGCUUUGUUUAGAAACCUGCAAGAUUGAGAUAUCUAUUUGAGUAUCAAAUACGUAGGCAUCAAGUGACCUGAAGCUAAUAUAAGUAAUGAAAAAGAAAAAAAAUGAUAUGUGCAUGUAGCAUUAGUUCCUAGUUUAGUCACUGCUUUAUCAAAGGCAAACAGGAUUUAGUUGGAUAACUGGUCAGUCGAGCCGGCUAAGACUAAUAUUUACAUGUGCAUUGAACCUGCCACCAUUUACAUUGUUGAACCUUGAGCUUAGAAAACGCUGCAAUUUGUGCUACCAGGAUAUGCAGAGAACU
RNAcentral lists this long non-coding RNA (6623 nucleotides) under Eucalyptus grandis. RNAcentral describes it as "long non-coding RNA (EGRA_LNC003811)". The record is from RNAcentral. Lineage: Eukaryota; Viridiplantae; Streptophyta; Magnoliopsida; Myrtales; Myrtaceae.